UCCGGUGGUAUGGGAUGGGCCCGCGUCUGAUUAGGUAGUUGGCGGGGUAAAGGCCCACCAAGCCGACGAUCAGUAGCCGACCUGAGAGGGUGGCCGGCCACAUUGGGACUGAGACACGGCCCAAACUCCUACGGGAGGCAGCAGUGGGGAAUAUUGCGCAAUGGGGGAAACCCUGACGCAGCAACGCCGCGUGAGUGAGGAAGUAUCUCGGUAUGUAAAGCUCUAUCAGCGGGGAAGAAGGAAGACGGUACCCGACUAAGAAGCCCCGGCUAACUACGUGCCAGCAGCCGCGGUAAUACGUAGGGGGCGAGCGUUAUCCGGAUUUACUGGGUGUAAAGGGAGCGUAGACGGCGUCGCAAGUCUGAAGUGAAAGCCCGUGGCUCAACCGCGGAACCGCUUUGGAAACUGUGAGGCUGGAGUGCUGGAGAGGUAAGCGGAAUUCCUGGUGUAGCGGUGAAAUGCGUAGAUAUCAGGAGGAACACCGGUGGCGAAGGCGGCUUACUGGACAGUGACUGACGUUGAGGCUCGAAAGCGUGGGGAGCGAACAGGAUUAGAUACCCUGGUAGUCCACGCGGUAAACGAUGAGUGCUAGGUGUCGGGGGGCAAAGCCCCUCGGUGCCGCCG
RNAcentral lists this ribosomal RNA (624 nucleotides) under uncultured bacterium. Its description in RNAcentral is "bacterial SSU rRNA". It matches the Rfam family "Bacterial small subunit ribosomal RNA", at positions 211 to 851 of the family's 1533-position model. The record is from RNAcentral.